This 253-nucleotide ribosomal RNA is filed under the name uncultured bacterium. RNAcentral describes it as "partial 16S ribosomal RNA". It matches the Rfam family "Bacterial small subunit ribosomal RNA", at positions 524 to 776 of the family's 1533-position model. The record is from RNAcentral.
UACGGAGGGUGCAAGCGUUAAUCGGAUUUAUUGGGCGUAAAGGGCGCGUAGGCGGGAAAGAAAGUCAGAUGUGAAAUGCCGGGGCUUAACCCCGGAACGGCAUUUGAAACUUCUUUUCUAGAGGAUGUGCGGAGAAAACGGAAUUCCAUGUGUAGCGGUGAAAUGCGUAGAUAUAUGGAAGAACACCAGUGGCGAAGGCGGUUUUCUAGUGCAUUCCUGACGCUGAGGCGCGAAAGCAAGGGGAGCAAACAGG